AGAGUUUGAUUAUGGCUCGGGAUGAACGCUAGCUACAGGCUUAACACAUGCAAGUCGAGGGGCAGCAUGAUCUUAGCUUGCUAAGAUUGAUGGCGACCGGCGCACGGGUGAGUAACGCGUAUCCAACCUUCCCUAUAGUAGGGGAUAGCCCGGCGAAAGUCGGAUUAAUACCCUAUGUUCUUCAUAGAUGACAUCUGAAAUGAAGCAAAGGUUUACCGCUAUAGGAUGGGGAUGCGUCUGAUUAGCUUGUUGGCGGGGUAACGGCCCACCAAGGCAACGAUCAGUAGGGUUCUGAGAGGAAGGUCCCCCACAUUGGUACUGAGACACGGACCAAACUCCUACGGGAGGCAGCAGUGAGGAAUAUUGGUCAAUGGGCGAGAGCCUGAACCAGCCAAGUAGCGUUGCAGGAUGACUGCCCUAUGGGUUGUAAACUGCUUUUAUAGGGGAAUAAAGUGAGGAACGUGUUCCUUUUGUAUGUACCCUAUGAAUAAGGACCGGCUAAUUCCGUGCCAGCAGCUGC
Molecule: ribosomal RNA, 520 nt
Filed under: uncultured bacterium
Lineage: Bacteria
Description: bacterial SSU rRNA
Rfam family: Bacterial small subunit ribosomal RNA
Source: RNAcentral